RNAcentral lists this ribosomal RNA (389 nucleotides) under uncultured eukaryote. Its description in RNAcentral is "SSU rRNA". It matches the Rfam family "Eukaryotic small subunit ribosomal RNA", at positions 587 to 972 of the family's 1831-position model. The record is from RNAcentral.
AGCUCCAGUAGCGUAUAUUAAAGUUGUUGCAGUUAAAAAGCUCGUAGUUGGACUUCUGGUUUAAUGCACCUGGCCCGCGGCCGCAAGGCCUGUGAGUGCCGGCGCGCGUUUACCAUCCUUCUAGAAAACGGGUCUUCCCUUAACUGGGCCGGAUUCGGGAUCUAGAUCAUUUACUUUGAAAAAAUUAGAGUGUUUAAAGCAGGCUAUUGCUAUGAAUACAUUAGCAUGGAAUAAUAAUCUAGGACUUCGGUUCUAUUUUGUUGGUUUCUAUGACUGAAGUAAUGAUUGAUAGGGAUAGUUGGGGGUGCUAGUAUUGGCCGGUCAGAGGUGAAAUUCUUGGAUUCGGUCAAGACUAACUUAUGCGAAAGCAUUCACCAAGGAUGUCUUCU